UCCAAUGGAAUCAGAUGGCUUUUAGUUUA
Molecule: non-coding RNA, 29 nt
Filed under: Rattus norvegicus (Norway rat)
Lineage: Eukaryota; Metazoa; Chordata; Mammalia; Rodentia; Muridae
Source: RNAcentral